This is a long non-coding RNA of Brienomyrus brachyistius, 423 nucleotides long. RefSeq lists it as uncharacterized. Lineage: Eukaryota; Metazoa; Chordata; Actinopteri; Osteoglossiformes; Mormyridae. The record is from RefSeq and is a predicted model, not a curated record. The transcript has 3 exons.
UACUCGAUCCUACCCUCGAAUUCAUUUUCAUAGUCCUUUUCUAAACUGAAACGGUUAAACUCAGCCAGCUUAACUGGCCAGGUCGUAUUCCUGUUAAACAGCUGCUUUCCGCACCUGCGGCUCACGUUGACGUAAAAGGGGUUCAAUCGCAAAGACAUCGUAACCUUACCCAAAAAAGAGGUUUAUUUUAAAUAGGGGAAGAAAAAAUACUUGACGUUUUCAAGGACUACAAAAGUGCUCUGAGCAGUACAUGAUCUCCAGGAGCCAAGAGUCUGGGAGGCAGAGGAGACCCUGGACGGGAUGCUAGUCCAUCGCCAGUAGAGCGGACGGAUCGUCGCUUGGCCGUGGACUAGAACUGGAGAGUGAGUCCACGGCUAGCAUGCAUCCGCGGGGGGAAAGACAACAACAACAAAUGAAUCUGGG